GAUGAACGCUGGCGGCGUGCCUAAUACAUGCAAGUCGAGCGAACAGACGAGGAGCUUGCUCCUCUGACGUUAGCGGCGGACGGGUGAGUAACACGUGGAUAACCUACCUAUAAGACUGGGAUAACUUCGGGAAACCGGAGCUAAUACCGGAUAAUAUAUUGAACCGCAUGGUUCAAUAGUGAAAGACGGUUUUGCUGUCACUUAUAGAUGGAUCCGCGCCGCAUUAGCUAGUUGGUAAGGUAACGGCUUACCAAGGCAACGAUGCGUAGCCGACCUGAGAGGGUGAUCGGCCACACUGGAACUGAGACACGAUCCAGACUCCUACGGGAGGCAGCAGUAGGGAAUCUUCCGCAAUGGGCGAAAGCCUGACGGAGCAACGCCGCGUGAGUGAUGAAGGUCUUCGGAUCGUAAAACUCUGUUAUUAGGGAAGAACAAAUGUGUAAGUAACUAUGCACGUCUUGACGGUACCUAAUCAGAAAGCCACGGCUAACUACGU
RNAcentral lists this ribosomal RNA (496 nucleotides) under uncultured bacterium. RNAcentral's name for it is "partial 16S ribosomal RNA". It matches the Rfam family "Bacterial small subunit ribosomal RNA", at positions 28 to 506 of the family's 1533-position model. The record is from RNAcentral.